UUUACUACUUAAAUUUAAGCAAGGGAUAGAAAGCAAUUUGAUGUCUGUUAUAACAAGAGUUAAAGUAUUUUUUUACAUGGUUUAUGCAAGAUUUGUUUUAUUCUUUUAGUGGUAAAAAUUGUCUGAGUUUUGCUGUGUGUGUGUUACUGAAGGAUGUU
Long non-coding RNA from Dermochelys coriacea (leatherback sea turtle), 158 nucleotides. RefSeq lists it as uncharacterized. NCBI's taxonomy places the organism in Eukaryota, Metazoa, Chordata, Testudines, Dermochelyidae. The transcript is spliced from 3 exons. The record is from RefSeq and is a predicted model, not a curated record.